Non-coding RNA from Hypoxylon sp. FL1150, 91 nucleotides. The record is from the annotation of a GenBank genome assembly. NCBI's taxonomy places the organism in Eukaryota, Fungi, Ascomycota, Sordariomycetes, Xylariales, Hypoxylaceae.
UCCGAAUUGGUGUAGUGGCUAACAUUUGGUGCUCUCAUCGUUACAAUCACAGUGAUCCGCCAAGCCCGGGGUUCGAUUCCCCGAUUCGGAG